AACGAACGCUGGCGGCAUGCCUAACACAUGCAAGUCGAACGAGACCUUCGGGUCUAGUGGCGCACGGGUGCGUAACGCGUGGGAAUCUGCCCUUGGGUUCGGAAUAACAGCGAGAAAUUGCUGCUAAUACCGGAUGAUGACGUAAGUCCAAAGAUUUAUCGCCCAAGGAUGAGCCCGCGUAGGAUUAGCUAGUUGGUGAGGUAAAAGGCUCACCAAGGCGACGAUCCUUAGCUGGUCUGAGAGGAUGAUCAGCCACACUGGGACUGAGACACGGCCCAGACUCCUACGGGAGGCAGCAGUGGGGAAUAUUGGACAAUGGGCGAAAGCCUGAUCCAGCAAUGCCGCGUGAGUGAUGAAGGCCUUAGGGUUGUAAAGCUCUUUUACCCGGGAUGAUAAUGACAGUACCGGGAGAAUAAGCUCCGGCUAACUCCGUGCCAGCAGCCGCGGU
RNAcentral lists this ribosomal RNA (448 nucleotides) under uncultured bacterium. RNAcentral describes it as "bacterial SSU rRNA". It matches the Rfam family "Bacterial small subunit ribosomal RNA", at positions 29 to 521 of the family's 1533-position model. The record is from RNAcentral.